This is a long non-coding RNA of Rattus norvegicus (Norway rat), 677 nucleotides long. RefSeq lists it as uncharacterized. The record is from RefSeq and is a predicted model, not a curated record. Lineage: Eukaryota; Metazoa; Chordata; Mammalia; Rodentia; Muridae.
GUGAUCCCACCGCCUCUCCCCCAUGACGUACUUCCUCCAUCAAGGCCUAGACCUCCCCAGAUAGCACCACCAACUAGGGACCUAGUGUUCAAAUUCCCAUACCUGUGGGGGACAUUUCUCAUUCAAACCACUCCAGCUGACCGGACAUCAGGUUCAAGGAAACAGCUUCCCCUCUGACUGUGAUAAGGAACAUCGGUUUAGGAAGACUCCAUCUGCACAGGCGAUCCAGAAAACCAUGCUGCCAACUCGUCUUACUAAGCCAUUGCUCCGCUGGCUGAUGGUUUAUCUGUAGACAAGCCCUGGCUGUCCUGGAACUGGAGUCAUAGACCAGGCUGGUUUUGAACCGACAGAGAACCACCAGUCUCUACUUCCCAAGUGCUGGGAUCAAAGGCUUGUACCAUCAUGCUUGGCUCAAGGCAUUUGCUUGAUUAAUGAUUGAUGUAGGAGAGCCCAGCCCAGUAUAAGGACUGUCACCCUGUACAGAUGGCCCUGGGGUAUAUAAGAAAGCAAAGUGAGCUAGACGCAAGGAGUAAGCAAGUAAGCAGCAUCCUUCUGUGCGUUUUGCUUCAGUUCCUGCCUUCAGGUUCCUGCCCCUGCCUGAGUUCUUGCUCUGACUUCCCUCAGUGAUGGACUAUUACCUGGAAGUGUAAGCUGAAAUAAACCCUUUCCUCUCCGAA